CUAUAAUGCAGUCGAGCGAACGGACGAGAGUGCUUGCACUCUCUGAUGUUAGCGGCGGACGGGUGAGUAACACGUGGGUAACCUACCUAUAAGACUGGGAUAACUUCGGGAAACCGGAGCUAAUACCGGAUAAUAUUUAGCUUCGCAUGAAGCAAUAGUGAAAGACGGUUCUGCUGUCACUUAUAGAUGGACCCGCGGUGUAUUAGCUAGUUGGUGAGGUAACGGCUCACCAAGGCAACGAUACAUAGCCGACCUGAGAGGGUGAUCGGCCACACUGGGACUGAGACACGGCCCAGACUCCUACGGGAGGCAGCAGUAGGGAAUCUUCCGCAAUGGACGAAAGUCUGACGGAGCAACGCCGCGUGAGUGAAGAAGGUUUUCGGAUCGUAAAACUCUGUUGUAAGGGAAGAACAAGUACGUUAGUAACUGAACGUACCUUGACGGUACCUUACCAGAAAGCCACGGCUAACUACGUGCCAGCAGCCGCGGUAAUACGUAGGUGGCAAGCGUUAUCCGGAAUUAUUGGGCGUAAAGCGCGCGUAGGCGGUCUCUUAAGUCUGAUGUGAAAGCCCCCGGCUCAACCGGGGAGGGUCAUUGGAAACUGGGAGACUUGAGUGCAGAAGAGGAGAGUGGAAUUCCAUGUGUAGCGGUGAAAUGCGCAGAGAUAUGGAGGAACACCAGUGGCGAAGGCGGCUCUCUGGUCUGUAACUGACGCUGAGGUGCAAAAGCGUGGGGAUCAAACAGGAUUAGAUACCCUGGUAGUCCACGCCGUAAACGAUGAGUGCUAAGUG
RNAcentral lists this ribosomal RNA (791 nucleotides) under uncultured Macrococcus sp. Its description in RNAcentral is "bacterial SSU rRNA". It matches the Rfam family "Bacterial small subunit ribosomal RNA", at positions 51 to 822 of the family's 1533-position model. Lineage: Bacteria; Bacillati; Bacillota; Bacilli; Caryophanales; Staphylococcaceae. The record is from RNAcentral.